RNAcentral lists this ribosomal RNA (353 nucleotides) under uncultured bacterium. Its description in RNAcentral is "bacterial SSU rRNA". It matches the Rfam family "Bacterial small subunit ribosomal RNA", at positions 28 to 356 of the family's 1533-position model. The record is from RNAcentral.
GAUGAACGCUGGCGGCGUGCUUAACACAUGCAAGUCGAACGAGUUACAUUAGAGGAAGUUUUCGGAUGGAAUCUAAUGUAGCUAGUGGCGAACGGGUGAGUAACACGUGGGUAACCUGCCCAUAAGAGGGGGAUAACAUCCGGAAACGGGUGCUAAUACCGCAUAGGUUUCUUGGUCGCAUGAUCGAGAAAGGAAAGACGGCCUUUGUGCUGUCGCUUAUGGAUGGACCCGCGGCGUAUUAGUUAGUUGGUGAGGUAACGGCUCACCAAGACGAUGAUACGUAGCCGACCUGAGAGGGUGAUCGGCCACAUUGGGACUGAGACACGGCCCAAACUCCUACGGGAGCAGCAGUA